Molecule: ribosomal RNA, 394 nt
Filed under: uncultured bacterium
Lineage: Bacteria
Description: partial 16S ribosomal RNA
Rfam family: Bacterial small subunit ribosomal RNA
Source: RNAcentral
AUACGUAGGGAGCGAGCGUUGUCCGGUAUUACUGGGCGUAAAGGGCGCGUAGGCGGCGCUUCAAGUCGUCUGUCAAAUGGAAGGGCUUAACCCUUUUUCGCAGACGAAACUGGAGAGUUUGAGAAGCAGAGAGGCAAACAGAAUUCCUGGUGUAGCGGUGAAAUGCGUAGAUAUCAGGAAGAAUACCAGUGGCGAAGGCGGUUUGCUGGCUGCAUACUGACGCUGAAGCGCGAAAGCCAGGGGAGCAAACGGGAUUAGAUACCCCGGUAGUCCUGGCAGUAAACGAUGUAUGCUGGGUGUGGGAGUAGCGAUACCUCCGUGCCGAAGUUAGCGCGAUAAGCAUACCGCCUGGGGAGUACGGUCGCAAGAUUGAAACUCAAAGGAAUUGACGGGG